UCCCUAGUACAAGAACCCCUUUUACUGCCUGCCUCCAGCCUCCCAACUUCCAGGGUGGCCCCUCCCACCAGACCCUACAAAGAACAAAUAGGAGACUUCAAAAUGACCCAAAGCUAAAAAGAUAACAAAUCCAGCAAGGGGCAGAGGCCAGGCAAUAUCAGGGUGCCUAAGGGUUCCCUGCUCUCUGCUGCCUCCCUCCAGAUAGCCAGGGCUGAUGUCUCAGGCCCCUCAGAAGCAAAUCUCUGAUCCCUGUGGCUAACUCCCAGCUUUCACAGCCGCCUGCCCCGAAUUGUAGCUGCCUGCCUGCCUCGCUUUCCCUUCACGAGGCCAUUAUGACUGCUCUUAUAGCCUUGUCUCCUUCUCAACAGGGAGAAAAAGCCUUCUGGGGUCAUUCUGCAGGGAUAGCGGGCCUCAAUUCAAGGCUGUCAGCUCCCAAACUCAUGAAUCCAGACCAUUCUCUCUCUACCUUAUAUUUUAGUUGCUAGCUGUAGGUUAGUCUCCAGUCUGCUACUAAAUCUGGUUCUCUUCUUCUGAUAUGACCAGAUCUGUGCUGACUGCUCUAAGCUGGCCAGGCCCAUGUGUUUAAGGAGUAUAUGUGGUAGAGUAGGGUCAGAAUGCCCAUUGGUAGACCACCCACUGGGCUCCCCUGGGACCCAGUGACAUCUUGGACCUUCAGGGACACCUGCCAACUUGUCUGAGUCUGUCUCCCACCUCUCACCAGCGUCUCCUCCCCUCCAGCUGUCAUCGACCACCUGGGGCGGGGGGUUUUGCAGAGCUGCAGCCAUUAAUUUCCCAGUGCCUAGGCCUCUUCCUAGAGACUGAUGACAGAUUGCCCUCUCUGUCUUCAGUAAGAAGCUAAGUGUUCUUUCAGAUUUAGAAGUCAGGGGAGAGAACAGCUUAGCCUGUGUGGGUCUCAGUAUAGUUUGGUUUGAUUCCACAGCCCUUUCCAAGCAAGGCCAAGUGCAGGCAGUGUCAAGUAGGUAGCAAGCAAGAGAGAAAGAAGACAGAAGUCAGAUCCAGAAGCUCAGGGAGAUUGGACAGCAGGAAAGGGAGUCAGUUCAGAACCAGGCUGAGUGAGGCGGCUGGCUAUGUUGGGUGCAGCCCAGAUCUCUAAAGGGAAGGAAAGGGUGAAGAAGCCCUCAGCCUCAAGCAGGCCUCUUGUCUACAAAACUAAGGAGGGAAUGAGGCUGGGGAAGGCACCUCUCUCUUUUGAGAAUCCCUACAAGCCUUUCUGUUUGCCUUAAGAUAACAGGGAAGCAUUUCAGAGGGAAACAUGGGAAUGAACCGGAUCUGCCUUGGUGAACCCUUCUCAUAUAUGCUUCUGCUCAUCAGCCCACAGACACCUGUCAUAGCCCCAAGGCUUUCUCAGGGCAGGAGAGCCAGAGGGUAGAGACCUGAUCCCAUUGAGUCCCCCUCCCAAGCCCACCCCCAAUCACUAUAGAUAGUCUGGAAGUGUCUCAAACACCAGUUCCUGCUUCCUGAGGGGCAGUCUGAGAGAAGUGGGGGGCAGCCCAAAUUCCUUGGGGACAACAGACCAAAGAUGCACAGCAGCCAGUUCCGUAUGGUCACCUUCAUCUCAAGAGCACCAAGGUCAGUGGAGUCAAAGCCCUUCUUAUCUAUCCAGAGCAGGAAGGAGAAUCAAAUGAGUGGGACGGGGCAGAGGGAGCAGAGAGGCCCCUGCUGCUCCCCGUGUCCUGGCCACACAUGGCUGUCGGGCGAAUGCCUUUCUGAGUGUGGUGGGAGAGAGAAGAUGGCAAGGAGUCCUCUGAACUCCUGUGGGCCUUCUGUGGCACUCCAGUCAAGGAUGACUUUGGACUUCUGAAUGGGACACCAAGUAACACCAUUAAUAUCCGUGCCUUUCCCAGCAUCCCCAGUGUCUCAGCAGUGUUCUGUUUGCUGUGAAGAGACACCAUGACCGUGACAGCUCUUUUUGUUUGUUUGGAUUGGUUUGGGGGGUUGGGGGUGGUUGUUGUUAUUGUUUGUUUUUUAAAUGUGGUCUCUCUGAACAGUCCUGGCUCUCCUGGAACUUACAGCAGACCAGGUCAGAGAUCUGCCUACUCAGCCUCGAGGGCUGGCAUCAAAGGUGUGCACCACCACAGCGACUCUUAUAAAAGGAAAGUGUUUAGUCGGGGCUGGCUUACAGUUUUCAGAGCUUCAGCCCAUUAUCUUCAUGGCAGGGAGCGCAGCAGCAGGCAGGCAGAUGUGAUACUGGAGAAGCAGCUGAGAGUUCUACACACAGAUCCAGAGGCAGCAGGGAAAGAGAGGACCCCUGGGCCUGGCUCAAAGCCCACCCUCUAGUGACACACUUCCUCCAACAAGGCCACACCUCUUAAUCCUUUGAACUAGUGCCACUCCCCUGUGACCAAGCAUUCAACUCUAUGAGCUUAUAGAAGCUAUUUUUAUUCAAACUACCAUAUCAGAUGAACCUGCAGAGACGUGUUUUUGAGUGCCCUUCCCCCAAGCCUGAGGCUGGUGCUCCCUGGGGCAUCUGUAGUCCGCACAUCCCCUCCCUGGCCUCUGAGACCUAGGUAAGGUAGAUGUUAAGCCAGGCUGCCUUUCCCAGACCUCCCUGUGUUUAGGGUUCAGCCACAGGCUUCACCUGGUCAUGCAGCGAUGUUUCUAGCUUCUUGGCCUCUGGCCACUGGCAAGCCUGUCUAGGAUUUCACCUGCAAACAUAGCUCAGCUGCCUGGGCCAGGGAUGUCUGGAGCAGGUAUGAGCUCAGAGCUGCUGUCUGCCUCUAUGCUGCUCACAACGUGAUCUUCCUGUCCCUAGGAGUCCAGAGCACUGGGAACACGGAAGAUGGCUCUGCCCUUCCAUGUGUGUGCGGCCACUUGGUUCUCUAUCACAUUAGACAGUGGCACUGAUAGCUCCAAAUGGGUCACCAAAAGACCUUUUUACCAAACUCCCUGGUCCCAGCCACCUUGAUCAAGCCAGCAAGGAUGUCUGAAAGGGGCUCCCAGCAGGCUGUGUGUCCAACAAAGCCCUGAUCAAUACUGAAUAGGGAAGUAAGGUUAAGAGGGAAGGCGGGGUGGAGAGGAGAAGCAGCCAGCCAUUAGGUUCCUGAUGGGAGCCACAGUUCAGGAAAAAGCUCUUCUCAGAGUCAGACUACACCUCCCCUAUAUAGUCACCUGCUUUCUGGGCAUUGGUGAGGUGCAAGCUCUGAGCCAGUCCCAGGACUUCAAAGACAAAUUCAAUUCUGUUCCAUAUCAGACGUCACUCACAGUCUAAAGGUAGACACAGUCCCCAAACUAGAAUUAGUGUGCAGUGGCGCCCUCUGUAAAGCAAGCUGGGGCAGACAGGGAAGGCCAGGAGAAGGCCUCUUGAGACACACUAUCUAACCAGAAGGGGAAGGAAGACCCUGGAGAUGGUCAGGUAUUUCAGACAAAGGGAACCACAUACAUAGAGAGCCUGAGGGGGCCAUGCUCCAUUCAGGACACUCUAAAACUGUAUGGACAGUGCACACAGCCGUCAGAGCUUGAGGCCCAGUGUCUUAGAUGCCAUGGCCUGUCAUCGUCCUGGCCCUGGAUGAAGACUGGAUAGGGCAGGACAUGUGAAGGACAGAGCAUCUCCUCUGGUCACUCAGGCCACCACCGUGUGUUUCUGUCACUUCUCUAGCUGUGCCCCAGGAUUCCCGGCAGCCCAGGGCUGCAGAGACCCUGUGGGGGCCUUUUCUUCCCCUUUCCCCGCACCCCGUCAUCCUCCCACCGACACUGGGAAACUGGCAUGUACUGAACAGCCCUCUGUCUGGACUGGACCAGUACGACUGGGGCCCCAAAUUUCAGAGGGAAGGUCUGAGGUGGCCCUGGGACAGUUACUACAGGCUGACCUUACAACAAUAUGUUCUUUCCUCAGGGAUGAAGGGAGGGCAGGGUCUCAGAGGCCAGCCAGAGUCUAACAUGCUCAAGGGUUGACUUCGGGUUUGGGUGUUUUUUGUUUGUUUGUUUGUUUGUUUUGUUUUGUUUUGAGAUAGGGAGGCCUGCAACUCACUGUGUAACAUGGACUUGCCUUGAACUCAGGCAGUCCUCCUGCCUCUGCCUCCAAAGUCUUGGGAUCAUAGAUGUGAGUCACCACGCUCAGCUGAUGUUUGUAAAAAUUAAGAUGAAAUAGAGACAAAACCUAGCUCAAAAGUCGCAGUAAGUUCUCAGUCGCAGGCAGUUCCUGGUGUUUGUUUUUAUGAGACAAGGCUCGCUCUGUAGCCAUGGCUGGGCCUGAACCAUUGCCAGUCUUCUUGCCGCAACCCCGUUAGACAGUGCUGUUACCAUCCUCUGUGUUGGAAGCCAAGGCCCAGAGAUGAUGAAGUGCCUGGCCAAGGUAACACAGCUAGUUAGGUAGUUAGGUAGUAGAGGUGGGUAUAAAACCCACACUGACUGCCCCAGCAACCCCUAUGAGGAGUCUGACCACGUACCUUCCUACUUAGAAUCCUCCGUAUCACCCCCUUCCUGCCAUGGCCUAGGAGAACCCUGUUUACCAAGUUCUUACAUGUAACAACCCCAGAGCCUGCCCGCCCACAGCUGUCAGCUGGCUGGCUGCAGCAGGUGCCAUUAGCGCUCGUGAGCAGUAGGGCUGCAUGGUGAAUUGGGCAUUGCACUGUCACCCUGACUGUUCACCGUAGCCAUUCAUUCUAAUUCAGACCAGAUAGCAAAGUCAUGCCCUGCCCCGGGCUACAGCCCUCUUACUUGGCACCCUGCCCUACCUUUUCUCUGCAUCCACCCAGUCCACUGCCAGAAACUGAACGUCACCUUGGAAAGAGAAGCCGCAGAGGAGGUUGUAACUCAUGAUGUCACUUUGCCAGCAUCUGUCCCUGUCAGUCUUCUUAGUACUCCAUCUCUUGCUUGUCCUGCUGGAUCUGCAUGUGUCCAGCAGCCACACAGAGGAAACCUCACAUCCAGCAUACAGGGAAAAUAAAGGCCACCAUCAGUGGGCUUCCCAGCCUCCCACCCACAUAUGCAUAUUAGUUCCUUUUCUGUUGCUGUGAUGAAAUACCAUGACAAAGGCACUUAGAGAAGGAAGGGCUAGUGGGACUUCCAGUUCCGAGGGCUAGGAGUCCAUCGUUGCAGGAAUCGGUACAGCAGACCUUGCAGCAGGGACAGUUGAGAGCUCAUAUCUCCAGCCACAAGCAGGAAGCAGUGAGUAAACUAGAGUUGUUUUGAGGAAUCACCUCCUCCAGGAAGGCCACAACUCCAAAGCCUACCCAAACAGCUCUACCAACUGGGAAUCAAGUGUUCCAGCAUCUGAGACUGUGGUGGACACUCUCAUUCAAACCGCCACAAUAAAACCCACAUCUGUUUCUGUUCUCCUCUUCCAACACCCCUGGCCUUGAUGGCCAUCCUCUUCAUCCUCUUUUUUUUUGUUUGUUUGUUUGUUUGUUUGAGCCAGGAGGCUCUCUUCCUCUCACCUCCUCAGGGGAAUCUUCCUCAAUCUUCUUCUCGCCUGUCUUCUGAACCUCUUUUUCACAUCUGUCUGUUCAUCCAGGUCUUUCUCCCCUUAAAAAAAAAUAAACCCAUGAAGGGCUGGUGAGAUGGCUCAGUGGUUAAGAGAUUGGCUUCUUGUGCUUCCAGAGGUCCUGAGUUCAAUUCCCAGCAACCACAUGGUGGCUCGCAACCAUCUAUGGGUGGGUCUGAUGCCCUCUUCAAGCAGGCAGAUGUAUAUGCAGCAGAGCACUCAUAUACUAAAUUAAAUUUUAAAAAAAAUGGGCCUGUGAGCUGGUAGUAUGGCGCAGUGGGUAACGGCGACUGCCACCAAACCUGCUGACCUGAGGUUGCUCCCUAAAGCCACAUGGUGGGAGGAGAGGUAACUGCCUCCUAUGAAGUGUCCUCUGAGUCCCCCAACACUAGCUGUGGCAAGGUUUUAACCCAUGAUGUUGCUUUACCAGCAUCCUAUGGGUGGGUCCCAUUUCUGAGUUCUCUCUCUCUCUCUCUCUCUCACACACACACACACACACACACACACACACACACAC
This is a non-coding RNA of Rattus norvegicus (Norway rat), 5960 nucleotides long. The record is from RefSeq and is a predicted model, not a curated record. Lineage: Eukaryota; Metazoa; Chordata; Mammalia; Rodentia; Muridae.